CCUACGGGGGGCAGCAGUGGGGAAUAUUGCACAAUGGGCGCAAGCCUGAUGCAGCCAUGCCGCGUGUGUGUAGAAGGCCUUCGGGUUGUAAAGCACUUUCAGCGGGGAGGAAGGCGGUGAGGUUAAUAACCUCAUCGAUUGACGUUACCCGCAGAAGAAGCACCGGCUAACUCCGUGCCAGCAGCCGCGGUAAUACGGAGGGUGCAAGCGUUAUUCGGAAUUACUGGGCGUAAAGCGCACGCAGGCGGUCUGUCAAGUCGGAUGUGAAAUCCCCGGGCUCAACCUGGGAACUGCAUUCGAAACUGGCAGGCUAGAGUCUUGUAGAGGGGGGUAGAAUUCCAGGUGUAGCGGUGAAAUGCGUAGAGAUCUGGAGGAAUACCGGUGGCGAAGGCGGCCCCCUGGACAAAGACUGACGCUCAGGUGCGAAAGCGUGGGGAGCAAACAGGAUUAGAUACCCUUGUAGUC
RNAcentral lists this ribosomal RNA (465 nucleotides) under uncultured Klebsiella sp. RNAcentral's name for it is "bacterial SSU rRNA". It matches the Rfam family "Bacterial small subunit ribosomal RNA", at positions 338 to 795 of the family's 1533-position model. The record is from RNAcentral. Lineage: Bacteria; Pseudomonadati; Pseudomonadota; Gammaproteobacteria; Enterobacterales; Enterobacteriaceae.